UCCAAGCAGUGAGAACUGCUUCAGGCUCCAUUAAAAUGCAAAGCUCCCAGAAAUCAAAGGCAGCAGCAGCAGGACUGAGCCCCGGCUGCAGCGCAGCCCUGAGCCAGGAGAGCAGAGACCCCGGACAGCUGAAGUGGGGCGAGGGACCCUGGAUCCAGCACAACAAAACUUCUGCACUUCUGAUCUGAUCGCAUGCAGCACUGCAGGAUGAAAUUCCAGCUGUUGGCCUCCAGGCUCACCUGUGCUUGUCUCAACCACAGAAAAAUUCAAGAUGUGGCUGCAAAAAGAACUGAACUACACAGCUCUUUAUAAGCAAGCAAGUUGAUCCCAAGAUGGAAGGACUGGAUUGAAUCUGAUCAUUCUAGUCCUCUGAAAGCUGCUACCUGCAGCUCUUAUUUACCCCCUCUCUAGCACUUGGCAUUAUAUGAAAUGUGAGAAAGAGGCACACACAAAUUUAAAGAACACUUAUCAGUAAGAAAGUAUAUUUAUCAGAACAAGAUUAAAGAGAUUUAAGG
Lonchura striata (white-rumped munia) is the source of this 515-nucleotide long non-coding RNA. RefSeq lists it as uncharacterized. The record is from RefSeq and is a predicted model, not a curated record. NCBI's taxonomy places the organism in Eukaryota, Metazoa, Chordata, Aves, Passeriformes, Estrildidae.